RNAcentral lists this ribosomal RNA (552 nucleotides) under Comitas sp. NP-2008. RNAcentral's name for it is "partial 12S ribosomal RNA". The stretch from base 209 to 552 matches the Rfam family "Bacterial small subunit ribosomal RNA", at positions 874 to 1384 of the family's 1533-position model. The record is from RNAcentral. Lineage: Eukaryota; Metazoa; Mollusca; Gastropoda; Neogastropoda; Turridae.
CACCAAGAAAUUAAGUCAUAUUUUUUGGUAAAAAGACAGUUAGGCCUUAAAAUUUUAAGGUUAUUUAAUUUUUUAUGAAAAAGUAAAAUUUGAACAUAAAUUUUUAAUUUUAUAAUAACUUAUAAGUCGAAUCUGUGAAAACCUUGAGGGAAACUGGGAUUAGAUACCCCAUUAUUCUUGGAUUUAAAUCAAAAUAGGAUAUUUUACCUGAGUACUAUGAAUAAAACAAAUUUAAAACUCAAAGGGCUUGGCGGUGUUUUAGACCGCUCAGGGGAACCUGUCUCAUAAUCGAUAGUCCACGUAAAACCUAACCUUUUUUUGCUAUUUACAGCUUGUAUACCGUUGUCGUCAGGUAACUUUUUAGAAACUAAAAGUUAGCUAAAAGUAUGAUAUGCUGAAACGUCAAAUCAAGGUGCAGCCCAUAAAGGGGGGAGGAUGGGUUACAAUUAUUAAAUUAUAAUAACGAAAAACUUUUAGAACUAAUAGUAUUGAAGGAGGACUUGAAAGUAAACUGAAUUAUAUAAAUAUCUUGAAUAAGGCUCUGAAACGUGC